UUAUUUGCAUAUAAUACAUAU
RNAcentral lists this non-coding RNA (21 nucleotides) under Caenorhabditis elegans. The record is from RNAcentral. Lineage: Eukaryota; Metazoa; Nematoda; Chromadorea; Rhabditida; Rhabditidae.